ACGGAAUGAUGAGAGUCAGUUUCGCUAAUUGGGCUGAACUCCUGUGAUGUCACUUCCUCUUGGCUGUCUGACCAU
This is a small nucleolar RNA of Anarrhichthys ocellatus (wolf-eel), 75 nucleotides long. RefSeq annotates it as small nucleolar RNA SNORD53/SNORD92. The record is from RefSeq and is a predicted model, not a curated record. NCBI's taxonomy places the organism in Eukaryota, Metazoa, Chordata, Actinopteri, Perciformes, Anarhichadidae. The transcript has a single exon.